UACGGAGGGUGCAAGCGUUAUCCGGAAUCACUGGGUUUAAAGGGUGCGUAGGCGGCUAGAUAAGUCAGAUGUGAAAGCCCACCGCUUAACGGUGGAACUGCAUUUGAUACUGUCUGGCUUGAAUCAGGCUGAGGUUAGCGGAAUGUGUCAUGUAGCGGUGAAAUGCAUAGAUAUGACAUAGAACACCAAUUGCGAAGGCAGCUAACUAGACCUGUAUUGACGCUGAGGCACGAAAGCGUGGGGAGCGAACAGG
RNAcentral lists this ribosomal RNA (253 nucleotides) under uncultured bacterium. RNAcentral describes it as "partial 16S ribosomal RNA". It matches the Rfam family "Bacterial small subunit ribosomal RNA", at positions 524 to 776 of the family's 1533-position model. The record is from RNAcentral.